Molecule: ribosomal RNA, 508 nt
Filed under: uncultured bacterium
Lineage: Bacteria
Description: partial 16S ribosomal RNA
Source: RNAcentral
GGAGUUAGCCGGUGCUUCUUCUGUGAGUGAUGUCCUUCCUGCCGGCUAUUAACCCGCAGGCCUUCUUCCUCACUGAAAGUGCUUUACAACCCGAAGGCCUUCUUCACACACGCGGCAUGGCUGGAUCAGGGUUGCCCCCAUUGUCCAAUAUUCCCCACUGCUGCCUCCCGUAGGAGUCUGGGCCGUGUCUCAGUCCCAGUGUGGCUGAUCAUCCUCUCAGACCAGCUACGGAUCGUCGCCUUGGUGAGCCGUUACCUCACCAACCAGCUAAUCCGACAUAGGCUCAUCCGAUAGCGCGAGGCCCGAAGGUCCCCCGCUUUCCCCCGUAGGGCGUAUGCGGUAUUAGCCUGGGUUUCCCCCAGGUUAUCCCCCACUACCGGGCAGAUUCCUAUGCAUUACUCACCCGUCCGCCGCUCGCCACCAGGGAGCAAGCUCCCCGUGCUGCCGCUCGACUUGCAUGUGUUAGGCCUGCCGCCAGCGUUCAAUCUGAGCCAGAAUCGAAUCCUGA